AGUUUUCUUAGAAAAUGGAAAAUGGAAAACAGAGAAAUUUUUUUAUAUGAGUAAACAGGCCCUAAUAUUUUCCUAGUUAAUUUUACUUUUGACAAAUGUUCUGGAAGACUUCUAUUGAAGAUCAGUUGGAGUCAUGAGACCAUAGGUUUGGUUGUUCUAAGUUGGGGCUUGGAUAGAAAAUACUAAUAUGUAGUACACUGUCAAGAAAAACUGAACUGAUUUUGAGAAGUCAAAUACUGUUGUUGGUUCUUUCCAUAUAUACGUUAGAUUAAUAUUUGACGAUUAGAGUUUAUUUAGUUUUUAGGAGAUGAUCCGCUGAUUCUGGUGAUAGCUUCUUGACCCAUUUGCUAAAAUGUAACUCAAAACAAGCAUGUUUCUAAGCUGCAUGCCCCAUUUGUUUAUGAUAUAAUUCUGUGAGCAGAUACCACUCACAGAUCCUUGAGCUUAUGUUGUUCACUAAGUAUGGAUCAUUUCCUUCUCAUGGUGUUUGCACAAUAAUUACUUUUCCAAUCCAAUGGUUUGCUUUUGCCAGAUGCAUGCUAGGUGAAAGCAGA
RNAcentral lists this unclassified non-coding RNA (554 nucleotides) under Hevea brasiliensis (rubber tree). The record is from RNAcentral. Lineage: Eukaryota; Viridiplantae; Streptophyta; Magnoliopsida; Malpighiales; Euphorbiaceae.